Non-coding RNA from Perca flavescens (yellow perch), 457 nucleotides. NCBI's taxonomy places the organism in Eukaryota, Metazoa, Chordata, Actinopteri, Perciformes, Percidae. The record is from the annotation of a RefSeq genome assembly.
AUCAGUGUGAUCAGAAACCAACGUCCUUAAAACUCCGGCACACAGUUGUACACGUCAUCUAAAGACUUAAAAAUAUAUCCUCUAUAUUGACGAAGAUAACAUGAUAUGCCUUCUAGUUUUCAGCUGCCUCUCAGGUGUGUGUCUGGGUCUUGAUGUCCGGCAGUCUCCCUCUGAUCUCAUCACCAAAUCUGGAGACAAAGUGGAGAUAUUCUGCAGCCAUGAUAAAACUGACUACAGGGUGAUGCUCUGGUACCAGCGCUCACCUGGAGACACGGCUAUGAAACUCAUUGGAUAUUUGAACUACAAAGCUGCCACAAAGGAAGAGCCAUAUAAAGAACAUUUUAAUAUGUCUGGAGAUUUGAGUGGAGAUACAGCAAAGAACGCCUCUCUAAUAUUCAGAUCUGGAUUUCAGCACAGUGCAGUGUAUUACUGUGCAGCCAGCUUAGCACAGUGACUG